UGAAAUAGAAUCCAUUACGAGCAUACUAAAUAAGCCAGUCAAUUAUGUCCUUGCAUUCACCAGCAACCAACAGCUAAACAGACCCCACACAAAAGCAAAGACCAAUUCAGAUCCGAGUACUAACAGCCAUUAGUCUUUCGCGAACACCACACUAACUAAAGUUUCCCGGGGUCGGCGGAACAGAACAUCGAUUCAUAAACAGCAUGACACGACAAAUGGGACAAUAGACCUAGAGCGAAGCUUCACCGUCUAACCCGCGUCGCGAUGUCCAUUCGCUAGGUGAUCACUUCGAGCACGCACAUAACCAACAGUGUGAUCCUGAAAAAACAGAAGCUAAAAUGAAAACCAAAUUGGGUAUAGCACAAAAGGUAGUUAAUGAUAGAAAAGGCAGUGGACAGACACACCAAAAGAAUAGGCUCUCCAAUGCCGCCUGAACUACAGCUUGAGCCUUUUAGCCACAUUGGAGCCGUCUCCUUCUGCCGCCAGGUCAUCAGUUGAUUUACUUCAUGGACAAACAACGAGCUUGUAAAAGAAGGCAGCAAUGACGCAUAUACUGUUAGACACUUGCUUCAAAUCAAAGCCAUAUACCUAGAGGUAGCAGCAAGAUCAUCACCGAGAACAACAGAGCCACCAUCCAGUUUUGCACCCCCCUGGCAGGUAUAAACAAAUAUACCAUGUCAACCGAUCACCAAAUAAUCAUGUGAUCAGGUCUGGAUGAAUCCUCACCAAGCAAACAAAAGAAAAUAUAGUAUGCUACAUUACAUCUUAAGUACAAGUGUAGAUAAUUUGAUAUCCGAUAUAACAGAUGCUUUAGUUAACCAAACUCAAAGGACCAAGACUCUAGUCAGAUGAUUCUAAAAUAACAUCAAG
RNAcentral lists this long non-coding RNA (870 nucleotides) under Triticum aestivum (bread wheat). RNAcentral describes it as "long non-coding RNA (TAES_LNC019227)". The record is from RNAcentral. Lineage: Eukaryota; Viridiplantae; Streptophyta; Magnoliopsida; Poales; Poaceae.